This 480-nucleotide ribosomal RNA is filed under the name uncultured Methanosaeta sp. Its description in RNAcentral is "bacterial SSU rRNA". It matches the Rfam family "Archaeal small subunit ribosomal RNA", at positions 858 to 1338 of the family's 1478-position model. The record is from RNAcentral. Lineage: Archaea; Methanobacteriati; Methanobacteriota; Methanomicrobia; Methanotrichales; Methanotrichaceae.
AAAUGAAUUGACGGGGAGCACCACAACGGGUGGAGCUUGCGGUUUAAUUGGAUUCAACGCCGGAAAUCUUACCGGGACCGACAGCAAUAUGAAGGCCAGGCUGAAGACUUUGCCGGAUUAGCUGAGAGGUGGUGCAUGGCCGUCGUCAGUUCGUACUGUGAAGCAUCCUGUUAAGUCAGGCAACGAGCGAGACCCACGCCCACAGUUGCCAGCGUACUCUCUGGAGUGACGGGUACACUGUGGGGACCGCCGCUGCUAAAGCGGAGGAAGGAAUGGGCAACGGUAGGUCAGUAUGCCCCGAAUAUCCCGGGCUACACGCGAGCUACAAUGGUUGGUACAAUGGGUAUCUACCCCGAAAGGGGACGGGAAUCUCCUAAAACCAAUCUUAGUUCGGAUUGAGGGCUGCAACUCGCCCUCAUGAAGCUGGAAUCCGUAGUAAUCGCGUUUCAACAGAACGCGGUGAAUACGUCCCUGCUCCUU